Molecule: ribosomal RNA, 352 nt
Filed under: Anaplasma phagocytophilum
Lineage: Bacteria; Pseudomonadati; Pseudomonadota; Alphaproteobacteria; Rickettsiales; Anaplasmataceae
Description: bacterial SSU rRNA
Rfam family: Bacterial small subunit ribosomal RNA
Source: RNAcentral
UUAGUGGCAGACGGGUGAGUAAUGCAUAGGGAUCUACCUAGUAGUAUGGGAUAGCCACUAGAAAUGGUGGGUAAUACUGUAUAAUCCCCGCGGGGGAAAGAUUUAUCGCUAUUAGAUGAGCCUAUGUUAGAUUAGCUAGUUGGUGGGGUAAAGGCCUACCAAGGCGAUGAUCUAUAGCUGGUCUGAGAGGAUGAUCAGCCACACUGGAACUGAGAUACGGUCCAGACUCCUACGGGAGGCAGCAGUGGGGAAUAUUGGACAAUGGGCGCAAGCCUGAUCCAGCUAUGCCGCGUGAGUGAGGAAGGCCCUAGGGUUGUAAAACUCUUUCAGUAGGGAAGAUAAUGACGGUACC